RNAcentral lists this unclassified non-coding RNA (347 nucleotides) under soil metagenome. RNAcentral describes it as "partial contains 5.8S ribosomal RNA, internal transcribed spacer 2, and large subunit ribosomal RNA". The stretch from base 1 to 120 matches the Rfam family "5.8S ribosomal RNA", at positions 35 to 154 of the family's 154-position model. The record is from RNAcentral.
GAUGAAGAACGCAGCAAAAUGCGAUAAGUAAUGUGAAUUGCAGAAUUCAGUGAAUCAUCGAAUCUUUGAACGCACAUUGCGCCCGCUGGUAUUCCGGCGGGCAUGCCUGUUCGAGCGUCAUUUCAACCCUCAAGCCCCCGGGUUUGGUGUUGGGGAUCGGCUCUGCCCUUCUGGGCGGUGCCGCCCCCGAAAUACAUUGGCGGUCUCGCUGCAGCCUCCAUUGCGUAGUAGCUAACACCUCGCAACUGGAACGCGGCGCGGCCAUGCCGUAAAACCCAACUUCUGAAUGUUGACCUCGGAUCAGGUAGGAAUACCCGCUGAACUUAAGCAUAUCAAUAAGCGGAGGA